Molecule: ribosomal RNA, 1022 nt
Filed under: uncultured bacterium
Lineage: Bacteria
Description: bacterial SSU rRNA
Rfam family: Bacterial small subunit ribosomal RNA
Source: RNAcentral
AGUUUGAUCCUGGCUCAGAAUCAACGCUGGCGGCGUGCCUAACACAUGCAAGUCGCACGAGAAAGGGACUUCGGUCCUGAGUACAGUGGCGCACGGGUGAGUAACACGUGAAUAAUCUACCUCCGAGUGGGGAAUAACUGAGAGAAAUCUUAGCUAAUACCGCAUAACACUUACGAGUCAAAGCAGCAAUGCGCUUGGAGAGGAGUUCGCGGCAGAUUAGUUAGUUGGCGGGGUAAUGGCCCACCAAGACGAUGAUCUGUAUCCGGCCUGAGAGGGCGCACGGACACACUGGAACUGAAACACGGUCCAGACUCCUACGGGAGGCAGCAGUGGGGAAUUUUGCGCAAUGGGGGAAACCCUGACGCAGCAACGCCGCGUGGAGGAUGAAAUAUCUUGGUAUGUAAACUCCUUUCGAUGGGGAAGAUAAUGACGGUACCCAUAGAAGAAGCCCCGGCUAACUUCGUGCCAGCAGCCGCGGUAAUACGAGGGGGGCAAGCGUUGUUCGGAUUUAUUGGGCGUAAAGGGUGCGUAGGCGGUUUGGCAAGUCUUAUGUGAAAUCUUCGGGCUCAACCCGAAGCCUGCAUAAGAAACUGCCGGGCUUGAGUAUUGGAGAGGUGAGUGGAAUUUCCGGUGUAGAGGUGAAAUUCGUAGAUAUUCGGAGGAACACCAGUGGCGAAGGCGGCUCACUGGCUCGAUACUGACGCUGAGGUACGAAAGUGUGGGGAGCAAACAGGAUUAGAUACCCUGGUAGUCCACACCAUAAACGAUGAAUGCCAGUCGUCGGGUAGCAUGCUAUUCGGUGACACACCUAACGGAUUAAGCAUUCCGCCUGGGGAGUACGGUCGCAAGAUUAAAGCUCAAAGGAAUUGACGGGGGCCCGCACAAGCGGUGGAGCAUGUGGUUUAAUUCGAAGCAACGCGCAGAACCUUACCAACCCUUGACAUACUCGUCGCCGCGCCAGAGAUGGCGCUUUCAUUUAGUUGGACGAGAUACAGGUGCUGCAUGGCUGUCGUCAGCUCGUG